CUACACUCAAUAUGGUCAGAAACCAUAUGUAGAGCGCAAAGGUAAAAGUGUGGUUGACUGUGAGACCUACAAGUCGAGCAGGUGCGAAAGCAGGACUUAGUGAUCCGGCAGUUCAUUAUGGAAUGGCUGUCGCUCAACGGAUAAAAGCUACCCCGGGGAUAACAGGGUUAUCUUCCCCAAGAGAUCACAUCGACGGGAAGGUUUGCCACCUCGAUGUCGGCUCAUCGCAUCCUGGAGCUGGAGUUGGUUCCAAGGGUUGGGCUGUUCGCCAAUUAAAGCGGUACGCGAGCUGGGUUCAGAACGUCGUGAGACAGUUCGGUACCGAGUUGAUGUUGGUGC
Molecule: ribosomal RNA, 339 nt
Filed under: Klebsiella aerogenes
Lineage: Bacteria; Pseudomonadati; Pseudomonadota; Gammaproteobacteria; Enterobacterales; Enterobacteriaceae
Description: bacterial LSU rRNA
Rfam family: Bacterial large subunit ribosomal RNA
Source: RNAcentral